AGAGUUUGAUCCUGGCUCAGAUUGAACGCUGGCGGCAUGCCUUACACAUGCAAGUCGAACGGUAACGCGGGGGCAACCCUGGCGACGAGUGGCGAACGGGUGAGUAAUACAUCGGAACAUAUCCAGUAGCGGGGGAUAAUCUAUCGAAAGACGGACUAAUACCGCAUACGAUCUACGGAUGAAAGCAGGGGACCGCAAGGCCUUGCACUAUUGGAGUGGCCGAUGUCGGAUUAGCUAGUUGGUGGGGUAAAAGCUUACCAAGGCGACGAUCCGUAGCUGGUCUGAGAGGACGAUCAGCCACACUGGAACUGAGACACGGUCCAGACUCCUACGGGAGGCAGCAGUGGGGAAUUUUGGACAAUGGCGCAAGCCUGAUCCAGCCAUGCCGCGUGAGUGAAGAAGGCCUUCGGGUUGUAAAGCUCUUUCGGUGAAGACGAAACGGUUCAUGCUAAUAACGUGAACUAAUGACGGUACUCACAGAAGAAGCACCGGCUAACUACGUGCCAGCAGCCGCGGUAAUACGUAGGGUGCAGGCGUUAAUCGGAAUUACUGGGCGUAAAGCGUGCGCAGGCGGUUUGCUAAGACAGGUGUGAAAUCCCCGGGCUUAACCUGGGAAUUGCGCUUGUAACUGGCAAGCUAGAGUGUGGCAGAGGGGGGUGGAAUUCCACGUGUAGCAGUGAAAUGCGUAGAUAUGUGGAGGAACACCGAUGGCGAAGGCAGCCCCCUGGGUUAACACUGACGCUCAUGCACGAAAGCGUGGGGAGCAAACAGGAUUAGAUACCCUGGUAGUCCACGCCCUAAACUAUGUCAACUAGUUGUCGGGGAAGAAAUUCCUUGGUAACGAAGCUAACGCGUGAAGUUGACCGCCUGGGGAGUACGGCCGCAAGGUUAAAACUCAAAGGAAUUGACGGGGACCCGCACAAGCGGUGGAUUAUGUGGAUUAAUUCGAUGCAACGCGAAAAACCUUACCUACCCUUGACAUGCUAGGAAGCCCGCAGAGACGUGGGUGUGCCCGAAAGGGAACCUAGACACAGGUGCUGCAUGGCUGUCGUCAGCUCGUGUCGUGAGAUGUUGGGUUAAGUCCCGCAACGAGCGCAACCCUUGCCAUUAGUUGCUACAUUCAGUUGGGCACUCUAAUGGGACCGCCGGUGACAAACCGGAGGAAGGUGGGGAUGACGUCAAGUCCUCAUGGCCCUUAUGGGUAGGGCUUCACACGUAAUACAAUGGUCGGUACAGAGGGCUGCCAACCCGCAAGGGGGAGCUAAUCCCAGAAAGCCGAUCGUAGUCCGGAUUGUAGACUGCAACUCGACUGCAUGAAGCUGGAAUCGCUAGUAAUCGCGGAUCAGCAUGUCGCGGUGAAUACGUUCCCGGGUCUUGUACACACCGCCCGUCACACCAUGGGAGUGGGUUCCACCAGAAGUAGUUAGCCUAACCGCAAGGAGGGCGAUUACCACGGUGAGAUUCAUGACUGGGGUGAAGUCGUAACAAGGUA
This 1492-nucleotide ribosomal RNA is filed under the name metagenome. RNAcentral's name for it is "bacterial SSU rRNA". It matches the Rfam family "Bacterial small subunit ribosomal RNA". The record is from RNAcentral.